Molecule: transfer RNA, 85 nt
Filed under: Candidatus Buchananbacteria bacterium RIFCSPHIGHO2_02_FULL_39_17
Lineage: Bacteria; Candidatus Buchananiibacteriota
Also listed under: 1 other name
Description: tRNA-Leu
Rfam family: tRNA
About the family: Transfer RNA (tRNA) molecules are approximately 80 nucleotides in length.
Source: RNAcentral
GUCAGAGUGGUGAAAUUGGCAGACACGCUAGCCUUAGGAGCUAGUGCCGCAAGGCGUGUGGGUUCGAGUCCCACCUCUGACACCA